RNAcentral lists this ribosomal RNA (424 nucleotides) under Bacillota bacterium. Its description in RNAcentral is "Firmicutes bacterium partial 16S ribosomal RNA". It matches the Rfam family "Bacterial small subunit ribosomal RNA", at positions 355 to 776 of the family's 1533-position model. The record is from RNAcentral. Lineage: Bacteria; Bacillati; Bacillota.
UGGGGAAUCUUGCGCAAUGGUCGAAAGACUGACGCAGCGACGCCGCGUGUGGGAGGACGCCUUUCGGGGUGUAAACCACUGUUGCCCGGGACGAACUGGCCGAUUCAUCGGCCGUGACGGUACCGGGUGAGGAAGCACCGGCUAACUCCGUGCCAGCAGCCGCGGUAAUACGGAGGGUGCGAGCGUUGUCCGGAAUCAUUGGGCGUAAAGGGCGCGUAGGUGGCCCGGUCAGUCCGUGGUGAAAGCGCGGGGCUCAACCCUGCGUCGGCCAUGGAUACUGCCGCGGCUCGAGCACUGUAGAGGCAGGCGGAAUUCCGGGUGUAGCGGUGGAAUGCGUAGAGAUCCGGAAGAACACCGGUGGCGAAGGCGGCCUGCUGGGCAGUAUGGCUGACACUGAGGCGCGACAGCGUGGGGAGCAAACAGG